GGCAAUGUGGUGGAAUUGGUAGACACGCUACUUUGAGGUGGUAGUGGGAGUUAUCCUGUAGGAGUUCGAGUCUCCUCAUUGUCA
Molecule: transfer RNA, 84 nt
Filed under: Arcicella aquatica
Lineage: Bacteria; Pseudomonadati; Bacteroidota; Cytophagia; Cytophagales; Flectobacillaceae
Also listed under: 10 other names
Description: tRNA-Leu
Rfam family: tRNA
About the family: Transfer RNA (tRNA) molecules are approximately 80 nucleotides in length. Their secondary structure includes four short double-helical elements and three loops (D, anti-codon, and T loops).
Source: RNAcentral